Molecule: ribosomal RNA, 429 nt
Filed under: Chloroflexota bacterium
Lineage: Bacteria; Bacillati; Chloroflexota
Description: Chloroflexi bacterium partial 16S ribosomal RNA
Rfam family: Bacterial small subunit ribosomal RNA
Source: RNAcentral
UGGGGAAUAUUGCACAAUGGGCGCAAGCCUGAUGCAGCCAUGCCGCGUGUAUGAAGAAGGCCUUCGGGUUGUAAAGUACUUUCAGUCGGGAGGAAGGUGGUAAGGUUAAUAACCUUAUCAAUUGACGUUACCGACAGAAGAAGCACCGGCUAACUCCGUGCCAGCAGCCGCGGCAAUACGGAGGGUGCAAGCGUUAAUCGGAAUUACUGGGCGUAAAGCGCACGCAGGCGGUUGAUUGAGUCAGAUGUGAAAUCCCCGGGCUUAACCCGGGAAUUGCAUCUGAUACUGGUCAGCUAGAGUCUUGUAGAGGGGGGUAGAAUUCCAUGUGUAGCGGUGAAAUGCGUAGAGAUGUGGAGGAAUACCGGUGGCGAAGGCGGCCCCCUGGACAAAGACUGACGCUCAGGUGCGAAAGCGUGGGGAGCAAACAGG